GGCUUCACACGGGGAGCUUGCUCCCAGAGAUGCUGCGAGGAAAGUCCCCUUGCCUUGGUGCAGAGAGUGCGAGUGGGAGACCGCAGGGCUCGUGCCAGACCCCCAGUGGUGAUGCUUCUUACAGAGCCUUGGUGGCGGGCUCGGGCCCUUCGCAGCAGCACAGACAUGCCGUGAGCGCUCGAGAUUGGAGCGCUAACAGAACGGGGCUCACUCUCC
This 216-nucleotide RNase MRP RNA is filed under the name Apocalathium aciculiferum. RNAcentral's name for it is "partial RNase MRP". It matches the Rfam family "RNase MRP", at positions 26 to 258 of the family's 266-position model. From Rfam's summary of the family: RNase MRP is an enzymatically active ribonucleoprotein with two distinct roles in eukaryotes. The record is from RNAcentral. Lineage: Eukaryota; Dinophyceae; Thoracosphaerales; Thoracosphaeraceae.